UCAGUAACACGUAGUCAACAUGCCCAGGGGACGUGGAUAACCUCGGGAAACUGAGGAUAAACCGCGAUAGGUCAUCACUUCUGGAAUGGGUAAUGACUUAAAUCUAUAUGGCCCCUGGAUUGGACUGCGGCCGAUCAGGCUGUUGGUGAGGUAAUGGCCCACCAAACCUGUAACCGGUACGGGCUCUGAGAGGAGGAGCCCGGAGAUGGGCACUGAGACAAGGGCCCAGGCCCUAUGGGGCGCAGCAGGCGCGAAACCUCUGCAAUAGGCGAAAGCUUGACAGGGUUACUCUGAGUGAUUUCCGUUAAGGAGAUCUCCUGGCACCUCUAAAAAUGGUGCAGAAUAAGGGGUGGGCAAGUCUGGUGUCAGCCGCCGCGGUAAUACCAGCACCCCGAGUGGUCGGGACGUUUAUUGGGCCUAAAGCAUUAGUAGCCGGUUCUACAAGUCUUCCGUUAAAUCCACCUGCUAACAGAUGGGCUGCGGAAGAUACUAUGGAGCUAGGAGGCGGGAGAGGCAAGCGGUACUCGAUGGGUAGGGGUAAAAUCCGUUGAUCCAUUGAAGACCACCAGUGGCGAAGGCGGCUUGCCAGAACGCGCUCGACGGUGA
Molecule: ribosomal RNA, 606 nt
Filed under: uncultured archaeon
Lineage: Archaea
Description: bacterial SSU rRNA
Rfam family: Archaeal small subunit ribosomal RNA
Source: RNAcentral